Molecule: ribosomal RNA, 3679 nt
Filed under: Deltaproteobacteria bacterium GWF2_42_12
Lineage: Bacteria; Deltaproteobacteria
Also listed under: 1 other name
Description: bacterial LSU rRNA
Rfam family: Bacterial large subunit ribosomal RNA
Source: RNAcentral
UAAAUUUAUUAUGGUCAAGCUACUAAGGGCGUACGGUGAAUGCCUUGGCGUCAGGAGGCGAUGAAGGACGUGGAAGUCUGCGAUAAGCCUCGGGGAGCCGGCAAACAGGCUUUGAUCCGGGGAUUUCCGAAUGGGGUAACCUGUUCCGAUGAACUCGGGACAUCAUUAGCUGAAUUCAUAGGCUAAUGAAGCUAACGAGGGGAAGUGAUACAUCUCAGUACCCUCAGGAAGAGAAAUCAAUUGAGAUUCCCCGAGUAGUGGCGAGCGAAACGGGAACAGCCUAAACCUCUUUGCUUGCAAAGGGGGGUUGCGGGACCUCAAUGUGGGAGGUGGAGAGAUAAUAGAAAGGUCUGGAAAGACCUGCCAUAGAGGGUGAUAGCCCCGUAUAUGAAAUUUCAAGACACCCUAGAGGUAUCCCAAGUACCACAGGACACGUGAAAUCCUGUGGGAAGCUGGGUAGACCAUUAUCCAAGGCUAAAUACUACCUGACGACCGAUAGUGCACUAGUACCGUGAGGGAAAGGCGAAAAGAACCCCGAGAGGGGAGUGAAAUAGAACCUGAAACCGUAUGCCUACAAACAGUUCGAGGGCUAUGCCCCGCAAGGGGAAUGCCUGAGAGCGUGCCUUUUGCAUAAUGACUCAGCGAGUUACUGUGCGUGGCAAGGUUAAGCCGAUAGAGGUGGAGCCGUAGCGAAAGCGAGUCUUAAAAGGGCGAUAAGUCGCGCAUAGUAGACCCGAAGCCAGGCGAUCUACCCAUGGCCAGGAUGAAAGGUCGGUAACACGACCUGGAGGUCCGAACGGGUGUUUGUUGCAAAAAGCUCCGAUGAGCUGUGGGUUGGAGUGAAAGGCUAAACAAGACUGGUGAUAGCUGGUUCUUCCCGAAAUAUAUUUAGGUAUAGCCUCGUGAAAUUAAUUGCCGGGGGUAGAGCACUGAAUGGGCUAGGGCCCUUACCGGGGUACCAAACCCAAUCAAACUCCGAAUACCGGUUAAUUUUAUCACGGGAGUCAGUCCGUAGGGGAUAAGCUCUAUGGUCGAGAGGGGAACAACCCAGACCGCCAGCUAAGGUCCCUAAAUGCAGGCUAAGUGGGAAAGGAUGUGGAACUACUUAGACACCCAGGAGGUUGGCUUAGAAGCAGCCAUCCUUUAAAGAAAGCGUAACAGCUCACUGGUUUAGUGGGUCUGCGCCGAAAAUGUACCGGGGCUUAAGCCUGCUACCGAAGCUGCGGAUUGGUUUAUUCUUCGGAAUAAAUCAGUGGUAGGGAAGCUUUCCAGUAACCUGCGAAGGUGGACCGUAAGGACCACUGGAGGAACUGGAAGUGCUUAUGCUGAGAUAAGUAGCGCACAAUGCGGGUGUAAAACCCGCACGCCGUAAACCUAAGGUUUCCUGGGGAAGGUUAAUCCGCCCAGGGUUAGUCGGGACCUAAGCCGAGGCUGAAAAGCGUAGGUGAUGGAAAACGGAUUAAUAUUUCCGUACCACCUAAUUAGCGUCUGAGCGAAGGGGGGACGGAGGAGGGUAGGUCAUCCGGGUGACGGUUGUCCCGGUUCAAGCCAAGAGGCGGGGAAGGUAGGCAAAUCCGCCUUCCCAUUCAACGCUGAUGGGUUAUGAGGAGGAAAGCCGUAAGGCAGACCGAACUGACUAAGCCCACACUUCCGAGAAAAGCCUCGUAGCGAGCUAAUUAGGCGCCCGUACUGCAAACCGACUCUGGUAGGUAGGUAGAGAAUACCAAGGCGCUCGAGAGAACCCUGGUUAAGGAACUUAGCAAUCUAGCCCCGUAACUUCGGGACAAGGGGUGCCUCUGUAGGGUUUAUAGCCCGAAGAGGUCGCAGAGAAAUGGGGGUUGCGACUGUUUAACAAAAACACAGGACUCUGCUAACACGAAAGUGGAUGUAUAGGGUCUGACGCCUGCCCGGUGCCGGAAGGUUAAGGAGAUUUGUCAUCCUGAGCAAUCGGGAAAAGCAGAGAACCGAAGCCCCGGUAAACGGCGGCCGUAACUAUAACGGUCCUAAGGUAGCGAAAUUCCUUGUCGGGUAAACGGAUACUUGCCCGAAUAUUAGCGUAAGCUGAUAUCAGUAAACCGACUCGUAAUGACGAAAAUCCAAUAUGAUUGGACAACGCCAUGGGAACCCCGCACAUGCGGGGACCUUUAACGACUGAACCGAAAGGUGAGAUUUCAUCAAUUGAACUGAUGGAAUAAUACGUCGGCUCCUGCAUCAAGGAGACAGGUCAUGGAGAUGGCAUCUUAUAUUACCGGAUUUGUGGAUGGUGAGGGAUGUUUCUCAGUAUCAUUUUCAAAGCGGGAAAAGAUGAAAUUGGGUAUUGAGAUUCGUCCGAGCUUUUCCGUAAGUCAGCAUCGGCGCAAUAAAGAAAUUAUCCUAUAUCUGCAAAAGUUUUUUCAGUGCGGUGGAGUGCGAUAUUCCAGGCGGGAUCAAAACUUCAAAUAUGAAGUCAGGUCAAUUGCCGAUAUAGUAAAAAAGAUUAUCCCUCACUUUGAAAAAUACGAGUUGCAGACGAGCAAAAAGGAUGAUUUUAAUGCGUUUAAAGAAAUAUGCCGGUUGAUUCACGCCAAUCAACAUCUCAAUAAAACAGGAAUGAUGAGGAUCAUUGAAUUGAGCGAACAAGUCAAUAAAACCGGCAAUAAGCGGUAUGACAGAAAAACUCUCCUAAAAUUUGUCGCAGGAUGAAGGCAUAGUCUGAACAUUAUGGCAACAUAAUGCUAACACCAAUGAAGUUCCGACCUGCAUGAAUGGCGUAACGAUAGCCCCGCUGUCUCAACCAGGGACUCGGCGAAUUUGAAAUGCCAGUGAAGAUGCUGGCUACCCGCAUCAAGACGGAAAGACCCCGUGCACCUUUACUAUACCCUGGUAUUGGAUUUUGGAACAAUCUGUGUAGGAUAGGUGGGAGACUUUGAAGCCGGGCCGCUAGGUUCGGUGGAGUCGUCGUUGAAAUACCACCCUGAUUAUUCUGACGUUCUAACCUUGGCCCGUAAUCCGGGUCGGGGACAGUGCCAGGCGGGUAGUUUGACUGGGGCGGUCGCCUCCCAAAGUGUAACGGAGGCGCACGAAGGUUCCCUCAGGCUGAUUGGAAACCAGCCGGCGAGUGUAAAGGCAUAAGGGAGCUUAACUGCGAGACCUACAAGUCAAGCAGAUGCGAAAGCAGGUCUUAGUGAUCCGGUGGUUCUGUAUGGAAGGGCCAUCGCUCAACGAAUAAAAGGUACGCCGGGGAUAACAGGCUGAUCUGGUCCAAGAGUUCAUAUCGACGACCAGGUUUGGCACCUCGAUGUCGGCUCAUCGCAUCCUGGGGCUGAAGCAGGUCCCAAGGGUCCGGCUGUUCGCCGGUUAAUAGCGGUACGUGAGCUGGGUUCAGAACGUCGUGAGACAGUUCGGUCCCUAUCUGAUGUGGGCGCAGGAUAUUUGAAGGAAGCUGUCCCUAGUACGAGAGGACCGGGAUGGCGGCACCUCCGGUGUUCCAGUUGUCCUGCCAAGGGCAACGCUGGGUAGCUGUGUGCCGAAGGGAUAACCGCUGAAAGCAUCUAAGUGGGAAGCCCCUCCUAAGAUAAGAUAUCCCGGGCCGCAAGGUCCCUAAAGGUCACUUGGAGACUACGAGUUUGAUAGGCCGGAUGUGUAAGUCCAGUAAUGGAUUGAGCUUACCGGUACUAAUUGACCGUGCGGCUUGACCAUA